AACGAACGCUGGCGGCAUGCCUAACACAUGCAAGUCGAACGAUCCCUUCGGGGAUAGUGGCGCACGGGUGCGUAACGCGUGGGAACCUGCCCUUAGGUUCGGAAUAACUCAGAGAAAUUUGAGCUAAUACCGGAUAAUGUCUUCGGACCAAAGAUUUAUCGCCUUUGGAUGGGCCCGCGUUGGAUUAGCUAGUUGGUGGGGUAAAGGCCUACCAAGGCGACGAUCCAUAGCUGGUCUGAGAGGAUGAUCAGCCACACUGGGACUGAGACACGGCCCAGACCCCGCGGGGAGGCAGCAGGAGGAAAAAUUGAAGAGGGGGCAAAGGCCUAAUCCGGCAAUGCGGGGGGAUUGUAAAAGCCUUAGGGUUUGAAACCCUUUUUCCCCAGGGAUGAAAAGGAGGGGCCGGGGAAAAAAGGCCCGGGCAACCCCCGGC
RNAcentral lists this ribosomal RNA (433 nucleotides) under uncultured bacterium. RNAcentral describes it as "partial 16S ribosomal RNA". It matches the Rfam family "Bacterial small subunit ribosomal RNA", at positions 29 to 508 of the family's 1533-position model. The record is from RNAcentral.